Long non-coding RNA from Zophobas morio, 627 nucleotides. RefSeq lists it as uncharacterized. Lineage: Eukaryota; Metazoa; Arthropoda; Insecta; Coleoptera; Tenebrionidae. The transcript is spliced from 2 exons. The record is from RefSeq and is a predicted model, not a curated record.
AAAUAAAGCAAAAAUGAAAGAGGUUGUCGUAGCACUAACAAUUCUGGUGUUUCUUAUUCAAGUUUUAGGUCUUGACGUGGAAGAGUGUUACGUUUGUUUAGAAAAAUGUGAUGUUCCUUUACAAAAGCAGAAAUGUCAAGAAAAUCAGAAAGUGAAAUGUUAUAGCAUCGAAAUCGUAUCCAGUUAAUAAAAAAUGCUUGUUUACAUAACACAAAUUCUAUAAACACCAGAACUGUCAAACUGUCUUUAACUACAUAUCACGUUAAAAACGUUUUAACGUUGUAUUUAUUUUUUAUAACAAGUUUUUCAACGAAGCACAUCCAACAAAUUUCUAAAAAUAUUCUACCAGAGUUUUGGCGUUUUUGGAAUUUUCUGUGGCGCAUGAUCAUUUAAUGUUGAUUAUUGUAGGCGAUAUGACGUGGGUUGAGAAAGGAUGCCUUCCUGCACAUGUUGCUGAUACAGAGUGUUUUAAAGCUAAUAAAAAUUUUGGAACAACCUGUAGAAUUUGUGAUCAAAACUUGUGCAAUGGUAACAAACACAAUAUUUUUGAUGUAACAUACAAAUUAUUAAUUUCUGUAUCAAUUCUAAUGUAUUAUGUCUAAGAUCAAUACACUAUCUUAUUUAAAA